GUGACAGAAGAGAGUGAGCACACAUGGUGGUUUUCUUGCAUGGUGCAUAUAUAAAGCUAGGGAGAGUCCAUGCUUGAGGCUAUGCGUGCUCACUUCUCUCUCUGUCAC
This 108-nucleotide microRNA precursor is filed under the name Ananas comosus (pineapple). RNAcentral's name for it is "mir-156 microRNA precursor family". It matches the Rfam family "mir-156 microRNA precursor family". From Rfam's summary of the family: This family represents the plant microRNA (miRNA) precursor mir-156. Animal miRNAs are transcribed as ~70nt precursors and subsequently processed by the Dicer enzyme to give a ~22nt product. Lineage: Eukaryota; Viridiplantae; Streptophyta; Magnoliopsida; Poales; Bromeliaceae. The record is from Rfam by way of RNAcentral.